Long non-coding RNA from Ochotona curzoniae (black-lipped pika), 408 nucleotides. RefSeq lists it as uncharacterized. The transcript has 4 exons. The record is from RefSeq and is a predicted model, not a curated record. NCBI's taxonomy places the organism in Eukaryota, Metazoa, Chordata, Mammalia, Lagomorpha, Ochotonidae.
GGCUGUGGCCAGUGUGCUGUGAGAACAAAGUCACAUCACUUCUUGGUCUUUUGGCGCAGACCAAGUGAGAGCAAAGUCACUACGCUGCGUCCGCAAGAUUCCAUUCUGUCUACGUGCUAAGAGAAGAGUCGGAGCAUGUGGAGUACUGAUCAGGGCAUCUGUGCAAGAGAAAACAUGAGUAACUCUGUAAAGACACAUGUGCAAGGAUUUCAUGACACACUCAUUUGUGGUCCAGGAUCCGGCAUUGAUGCAUGAUGGAAAACCAGUGCACAAGAUGCCAGCAGCCCACAUGUGUGCCUGUGGAAUCCUGUCCACUACUCCACCUCUGACAGCAGCUCCCCUGUCAUGACCGGGGGAAACAGUGGAAGAUGGCCCAAGUCCUCAGGCUCCUGCACCUAUGUGGGAGAC